Long non-coding RNA from Crotalus tigris (Tiger rattlesnake), 2058 nucleotides. RefSeq lists it as uncharacterized. NCBI's taxonomy places the organism in Eukaryota, Metazoa, Chordata, Lepidosauria, Squamata, Viperidae. The transcript has 3 exons. The record is from RefSeq and is a predicted model, not a curated record.
GAACAACAAUAGGUUUUAACUUCUCUUGGCUAAUCUCAAGCUUCUAAAGAUCUUGUAUCAUUCCAAAUCCAGUGAUGUAAAACAGUGUUUUCCAAUUUGUAGAAUUCCAUAUGUGGAGACUUCAACUCCCAGAAAUCUCUGCAAUGGUCAUAUUGGUUUGAGGAAUUCUGGACAAUGAAGUCUACAUAUCAAAAGGAAUUGGCCCAUGUAGAGAAUCCACGAGAAGCCCUGGGGAUACAGUGGUUUGAAUGAAGAAUUGCAGGUUAACUCUGCCCACAGGCUGGAGUUUGAUUCUGAUGGGCUUAAGGUUCACUCAGCCUUCCAUCCUUCCAAGGUUGGUAAAAUGAGGACUCAGAUUGUUGGGAACAAUGUGCUGACAUUUGUAAACCAGCUCGAGAGUGCAGUUGCCUUUUGGAAAAAGCACCUUUGAGACAACCAUGACCUGGGUGAAUGAGAAUCUCCAUGGACAACUUUAAAAAGCCUUCUUCUUGAAGCCAGGUUGCCCUGAGAUUAUAUGACUUUUGGUAUCAGAUAAAAAUCUGGUAUUUUAUUCUCCAUUAGUAUUAUUGUAAUGACUCUUAUGUGCUUAUUAUUGACUUAACUUUCUGUUAACAGUCCAUAUUGCUCUUUUAGGUAAUAUCCUCUUAGUAAGUAGGCUACAAAUAUUUUGUAUAAAUACAAAUGAACCUUCCCCAAAUAUUGUAGAGAUGUGAUAUGCCUUACAGCAGUGUUUCUCAAACUUGACAAUUUUAAGGCAUGUGGAGUUGAAGUCCACAUGCCUUAAAAUUGUCAAGUUUGGGAAACACUGCCUUACAGCAUAUCAGUUAAACAUGUGGGGAAAUGCUUCUACCCACAUUUAUCUUCACUUGUCAUUAUCUUACAUGGGAGUCACUUCAGUAAAUGCAUUUUAAAAAAAGGAGUACUCCCCACCCAUGAUUUCUAAUGAUAUCCCACCCAGCCAACUAUUUGAGAGAACUCUGGUUUUAGAAGGCAGCUCUAGUAAUGCAGCUGAGGAGCCCCACUGAGAUGCCAGCAAUUAAUUCUUGAUUGAAGCAAAUUUCAGGAACAGGUGAAGUUGUUUUUUCUCCCUCUAUCUUGAACGAAGGUGCUCCUUUCUUUCUUCUGAAGGUUUGGUGCUUGUUCUUUUUAGCAUUUGCUGGUAUCUAGGUGUCUUAGACUUCCUUCAUUCUUUCCAGCAAAUAGAACACGGGUGUCAAACUUGCCACAUCACAUGACGUGUUGUGACGUAUCACGACUUUUUUUGCAUUGCCGGAGCUGGGGUGGGUGCAGUCUCCACAUGAUACAAUUGGCCCACGGGUCGGCAAUUUGAUACCCCAGAUAUAUAGAUGUCCCUUGCGUGGUGACCCAGUGGACAUCCUCCAGAAUAAAAUGACUAGGGCCAAAUAUGAUUUUGCUUUAUUUGCAUUUAAAGUAAUUUAAGAAUGCUCUUAAUAUGGCUGCUGUCUAAAACAAGUGGAAGGUAGUCCAAUUCUAGGACUACUACAUUUCAAAGGAGAAACCUGGUUUUUUUCCCCUCCCAGACCCUUUACUGUAUCUAAUAAUAUUCAUUCCUUACAUUUAGGAAUAGGGCUUAAAAGAUGCCAAAUCCCAAUUAGAUAGUUUUGGCAUGAAGGCAUAUCAUUCUAGGGGCCAUCCAUUUGGAGGACUGCAAUAUUGCAGUUGAGGUAAUUUUCUCAUCACUAUCAGGGAGAGAGACAAUUGGGCAGCAAAUGGAUGAUACAUCGACAUCUUUCUUUCAACAUUCUAAUCCUGUUUUGAGUUUUCAGCAUCUAUACUUGGAAGGGAUUGAUCGUUGAAUGUUUCAUCAGACAAAAUGUAACAGAGACUCCCUUUCAUGUCAAGUUUGAUUCUGCAAAAGAAGAGAGCUCAAGACAGAAAUAGCAAGUGGCAACCAGCCUUCAAAGAGUUAAGAAGAAAGGUGAGGAUAAAGAACAUAAAGAAGAGUAAAGUACCUGCAGGCAGGACAAGAAGCAAUGGAUGGAAACUAAUCAAGGACACAACCAAUCUAGAACAAAGGAGAAAUUUCCUGACAGGUAG